CAGUAGCCACGGUAAUACGGAGGGUGCAAGCGUUAAUCGGAAUUACUGGGCGUAAAGCGCACGCAGGCGGUCUGUCAAGUCGGAUGUGAAAUCCCCGGGCUCAACCUGGGAACUGCAUUCGAUACUGGGAAGCUAGAGUAUGGGAGAGGAUGGUAGAAUUCCAGGUGUAGCGGUGAAAUGCGUAGAGAUCUGGAGGAAUACCGAUGGCGAAGGCAGCCAUCUGGCCUAAUACUGACGCUGAGGUACGAAAGCAUGGGGAGCAAACAGGAUUAGAUACCCGCGUAGUCCCUGUCUCUUAUAU
Molecule: ribosomal RNA, 301 nt
Filed under: uncultured bacterium
Lineage: Bacteria
Description: partial 16S ribosomal RNA
Rfam family: Bacterial small subunit ribosomal RNA
Source: RNAcentral